UGUGAGAAAAACACGCGUGAGUUCUCUCUUUCUCGGAAUAACGUCUGAGCUAAAGAGUUGAAGAACUGAUCUGAAGAACUGAAGUCAAAGAACUGAUUUCGUCAAGCGUGUGUUCGAUUCUCUUCUCCGAUAACAAUUUCGUCAAGCAAGAGGAGAAUAAGAAGGAAUUGAUAAUUUUGGGGUUGUUGGCUAAGAACACGAUUUCAGACAGAACUGAAGCUAGGAACACGAUUUCAGACCGAACUGAAGAGCUCAACAGCUAAAGAUAUUCUCGCUGAAGGACACGAUUUACAUCAUAGUUCUCGCUGAAAAUAGGAUUUUGUUGGAAUAGGGUUUAUCAGAAAGACUGAGGAGCUUGAAUUGAAGAAGACGCAACAAGAAACCAAAGCUAUUGAAACUUCAAGGAAAGUUAUUCCAUCAAUGUGGCAGGAAAUGUGCAAGAAACAAUUAAUGAUAGCCAAUUCAGAUUUCAUGGAAAAUAUGGAGGUAUUCUAAUUAAUCAACCUAUAUGUAUGUUAUUGCCUUGCAUGUGGAAUUAGAUGCAACUCACACUUCCAUAAUUUCAUAUUAUGCUGUAACUCACAUUUGAGAUACACAACUCAAUCAUUUCUGAUGUCUCUAAUGUAAUCCAUCAAAAAUGCACUAUUUCCCCUCUAUAGUUCUCUGAGUUUUUAUUUCUAGCUAGUUAGGGUGAAGGGGAAAGGGAGAGGUGGGGCUGAAUUAUGUUUCAUUAGUGAGGAAGUAGAGAGAUUCAUGGUACUGUAAGAUAUGCAUGUUACCGUAGGAGUCGUGAUAUUUUUAGUACUAGUAAUUUCUGUCGACUGUUAAAUGUUAAUUGGGUGAUGAAUACAGAAAAAGUUUCUGAACAUUGUGUCUAAAAUGGAAGAAAAAGAUAACGUGAUCACAACAUUUAUGUUGUUGGCUAAACAAUUUGCUGAAGUUAAGAGAAAGGAAAUGGAACAAGGAAGUGAGAAACAGGGAGUACAAGCAGUAGAUGUAGCAAUGGAGAGAUCAAAUGAUCAAGGCAAGGAGCUAACAAUAAUUAAAUUAAAAAUUUGGUCCAAACACCACCCUCAGUCUCUUCUUCUACUGCCAUAGCUCCUCUUUCAUUGCUGCCUUACACUAAUAAUUUUCAUAACAACAACCUAGCAUUCCCUGUCAAGCCUGUCCCUGAAAGACGAAUAGUCACUGUUACUGUCUCCACCAUAUCUGGUGAAACAUGCUAUGAAGCUGGGAUAACAUGAUGAACUACUCAACUGGAAACAAGACAACAACUCUCAUCAACAUAAAUGAUGUCCCUCGUAACGUUGGUGAAGGAUUUCUCCAUGCCCGAACAUCAAGACAAACUAUAACCACAACAACUACCGUCACACCUCAUAUGAGUAAAGCACAACAAGUUUUAGGUGAUAACAGGGAUAGCAAAGUUAGCAUCAGCAGGAAGGAGUACAAUCAUCAACAAGCAAGCAAAUAUUGUUCUUCUUAAGAAAUUUUUGUUUAACAGAACUGCCUGAUCGCACUAGUGCCUUGUAGCUACCAGUGACUAAGGAUAGCAAGUCCAAAGAAGAGAAUCACAAACUGCUGAAUGGAAAUUCGGGAGAUCCAGCAGAAUGGGUAUAGAGGUUUAUGCAUUUUCCAUCCUAGGGAUUAUAGCUUUUCUGUCACUAUUGUAUAAGUUUGAAUACAUUAUAUUUGAUUUUGUGAAAUAUAUUCAUUGCUAGAAUAUAUUGAACCAUUGUAAGAGUAUUUUUUGAACUAUUGUGUAAACAUAUUUAGAAUAUUGCUUUAUAAGUAUGUGUAUGUACACAAGA
Molecule: long non-coding RNA, 1808 nt
Organism: Solanum tuberosum (potato)
Lineage: Eukaryota; Viridiplantae; Streptophyta; Magnoliopsida; Solanales; Solanaceae
Exons: 6
Source: RefSeq, a predicted model, not a curated record